Molecule: long non-coding RNA, 338 nt
Filed under: Cavia porcellus (domestic guinea pig)
Lineage: Eukaryota; Metazoa; Chordata; Mammalia; Rodentia; Caviidae
Description: lncRNA (ENSCPOG00000034836.1)
Source: RNAcentral
GAAGGAACAUGCUCUUCAGGCUCAUGGAAUUUGGAAAAUAUUCUUUCAAAAGAUUUUGAACAUGGUAUUUUUAAUAAUUUUUGGGUGGCUGGAGAGACGACAAACCAAAGGAGUUUGUUUUUCUGCCUUCUCCCUGCUGAUUACCUUAGUGCAGCUCCUGUACUUCUGGGAAGUGCUGGCUCCCCUCUAUCAACUACUGCAAAAUCAGCCUUAAGGAUCAGAGCUGGCUGACAGGCUGGACCAGGAACAUCUCAUGAACGGAGAGCAACUUCAUAUUAGACAUUCAGGUCUCCUCAGGGCCCAGAGUGGACCAGUGCCACAUCCACCUGGUACCUGUA